CCCCCAGACAUAUAGCGCACGAGCCCUGUGGGGGAAAUAUGAAGAGCUUUUUGGAAAGAGUGUUAAGAGUACGUGAUAUUGUCGAAAGGGGAGCACUUGAUCUCAGCCAUUGUGUGAGAGUCUCCGCGGCGUUUUUGCUUGGUGUAUUUCUCGGUAGCAAGCCAGCAUUGGUUUGUGUCGUCGGAGAAGCGCAUGGGGAAUGUGGCGUUUUCGGAUGUGUUAUAGCCUUGUGCAGGAUACGACGACGUGGAUCAAGGAACGCAGUGUGCCCUCUGGGCGGGUCUUCGGACACCUUCACA
RNAcentral lists this ribosomal RNA (299 nucleotides) under Malassezia restricta. RNAcentral's name for it is "partial large subunit ribosomal RNA". Lineage: Eukaryota; Fungi; Basidiomycota; Malasseziomycetes; Malasseziales; Malasseziaceae. The record is from RNAcentral.